CCGGUCAGCUGCUAUGGGGGCAGAGUCACAGCACACGGCCGCCAUGGCGGCCGCGGGAAUUCGAUUUUAGCUGGUCUGAGAGGAUGAUCAGCCACACUGGGACUGAGACACUGCCCAGACUCCUACGGGAGGCUGCAGUCGAGGAUCAUUCGCAAUGCGCGAAAGCGUGACGAUGCGACGCUGCGUGGAGGAUGACGGCCCUAGGGUUGUAAACUCCUGUCAUUCGGGAAAAAUGGUUCCGGGGUUAAUACCCUCGGAAAUUGAUGGUACCGGAAGAGGAAGCCACGGCUAACUCUGUGCCAGCAGCCGCGGUAAUACAGAGGUGGCAAGCGUUGUUCGGAUUUACUGGGCGUAAAGGGUGCGUAGGUGGCAUCGUAUGUCGGGUGUGAAAUCCCACGGCUCAACCGUGGAACUGCAUUCGAAACUGCGGAGCUAGAGUACAGGAGGGGAGAGCGGAAUUCUUGGUGUAGCGGUGAAAUGCGUUGAUAUCAAGAAGAACACCGGUGGCGAAGGCGGCUCUCUGGAAUGUUACUGACACUGAUGCACGAAAGCUGGGGGAGCAAACAGGAUUAGAUACCCUGGUAGUCCCAGCCGUAAACGGUGUGAACUUGGUGUGGGGAGAAUUGACCCUCCCCGUGUCGGAGCUAACGCGUUAAGUUCACCGCCUGGGGAGUACGGCCGCAAGGCUAAAACUCGGAGGUGGCAACGAAAGUUACCCUUGCCAUCACCGGUGCUGCAUGG
Molecule: ribosomal RNA, 741 nt
Filed under: uncultured bacterium
Lineage: Bacteria
Description: bacterial SSU rRNA
Rfam family: Bacterial small subunit ribosomal RNA
Source: RNAcentral